UAGGGAAUCUUCCGCAAUGGGCGAAAGCCUGACGGAGCAACGCCGCGUGAGUGAUGAAGGUCUUCGGAUCGUAAAACUCUGUUAUUAGGGAAGAACAAAUGUGUAAGUAACUAUGCACGUCUUGACGGUACCUAAUCAGAAAGCCACGGCUAACUACGUGCCAGCAGCCGCGGUAAUACGUAUGGACCGAGCGUUAUCCGGAAUCAUUGGGCGUAAAGGGUACGUAGGCGGUUAAAUAAGUUAGAAGUGAAAUCCCAUAGCUCAACUAUAGUAAGCUUCUAAAACUGUAUAACUUGAGAAAUGAAAGGGAAAGUGGAAUUCCUAGUGUAGCGGUGAAAUGCGCAGAUAUUAGGAGGAAUACCGGUGGCGAAGGCGACUUUCUGGUCAUAUUCUGACGCUGAGGUACGAAAGCGUGGGUAGCAAACAGG
This 428-nucleotide ribosomal RNA is filed under the name Bacteroidota bacterium. RNAcentral describes it as "Bacteroidetes bacterium partial 16S ribosomal RNA". It matches the Rfam family "Bacterial small subunit ribosomal RNA", at positions 355 to 776 of the family's 1533-position model. Lineage: Bacteria; Pseudomonadati; Bacteroidota. The record is from RNAcentral.